AGAAAAGUAACCGCCGCCCCGCGCAGGGGCGACACCAAUAGACCGUCAAGCCAACCAGUUCAACGACGGAGCGCGGAUCACCGACUCCAAACCCGCGCCCCUGCGAGCCCCUC
Molecule: non-coding RNA, 113 nt
Organism: Burkholderia sp. TJI49
Lineage: Bacteria; Pseudomonadati; Pseudomonadota; Betaproteobacteria; Burkholderiales; Burkholderiaceae
Source: Rfam